AAAAUGAGAAUAAAAAGAGAUAGGUGCAGAGACUCAAAAUCCGUCGAAUUUUAAAAUCGUGAGGGUUCAAGUCCCUCUAUCCCCA
Molecule: transfer RNA, 85 nt
Filed under: Gymnadenia odoratissima
Lineage: Eukaryota; Viridiplantae; Streptophyta; Magnoliopsida; Asparagales; Orchidaceae
Also listed under: 2 other names
Description: tRNA-Leu
Source: RNAcentral